GUCCUUUCCUGGUUCAUAAGUAUGAUGAUUGGGGGUUCACGCCACUGUGUGACAUGCACCUCUCUCAAACUGUGGCACAAUGUCUGUAUAUUAACCCUCUGGCA
Molecule: small nucleolar RNA, 104 nt
Organism: Nannospalax galili (Upper Galilee mountains blind mole rat)
Lineage: Eukaryota; Metazoa; Chordata; Mammalia; Rodentia; Spalacidae
Product: small nucleolar RNA U13
Exons: 1
Source: RefSeq, a predicted model, not a curated record